AUACUUACCUGGCAGGGGAGAUACCAUGAUCAUGAAAGUGGUUUUUCCAGGGUGAGGCUCAUCCAUUGCAAUUCAGGUGUGCUGAUCCCUGUGAUUUCCCCAAAUGUGGGGAAAAUCAACUGCCUAAUUUGUGAUAGUGGGGGACUGUGUUUGUGGUUUCCCCUG
This 165-nucleotide small nuclear RNA is filed under the name Pogona vitticeps (central bearded dragon). Its description in RNAcentral is "U1 spliceosomal RNA (ENSPVIG00000007895.1)". It matches the Rfam family "U1 spliceosomal RNA". Rfam says of the family: U1 is a small nuclear RNA (snRNA) component of the spliceosome (involved in pre-mRNA splicing). The record is from Rfam by way of RNAcentral. Lineage: Eukaryota; Metazoa; Chordata; Lepidosauria; Squamata; Agamidae.